RNAcentral lists this long non-coding RNA (1434 nucleotides) under Salmo trutta (river trout). RNAcentral describes it as "lncRNA (ENSSTUG00000032953.1)". The record is from RNAcentral. Lineage: Eukaryota; Metazoa; Chordata; Actinopteri; Salmoniformes; Salmonidae.
AUGGCUUCUAUAUACCCUUCCAAUCCAUCAGAUAUGGCUUCCAUUUACCCUUCCAAUCCAUCAGAUAUCGCUUCUAUAUACCCUUCCAAUCAAUCAGAUAUGGCUUCCAUUUACCCUUCCAAUCAAUCAGAUAUGGCUUCUAUAUACCCUUCCAAUCAAUCAGAUAUGGCUUCUAUAUACCCUUCCAAUCAAUCAGAUAUGGCUUCCAUUUACCCUUCCAAUCAAUCAGAUAUGGCUUCUAUAUACCCUUCCAAUCCAUCAGAUAUGGCUUCCAUUUACCCUUCCAAUCCAUCAGAUAUCGCUUCUAUAUACCCUUCCAAUCAAUCAGAUAUGGCUUCCAUUUACCCUUCCAAUCCAUCAGAUAUGGCUUCUAUAUACCCUUCCAAUCAAUCAGAUAUUGCUUCUAUAUACCCUUCCAAUCAAUCAGAUAUGGCUUCCAUUUACCCUUCCAAUCAAUCAGAUAUGGCUUCCAUUUACCCUUCCAAUCAAUCAGAUAUGGCUUCUAUAUACCCUUCCAAUCCAUCAGAUAUGGCUUCCAUUUACCCUUCCAAUCAAUCAGAUAUGGCUUUCAUUUACCCUUCCAAUCCAUCAGAUAUGGCUUCUAUAUACCCUUCCAAUCAAUCAGAUAUGGCUUCCAUUUACCCUUCCAAUCAAUCAGAUAUGGCUUCUAUAUACCCUUCCAAUCAAUCAGAUAUGGCUUCCAUUUACCCUUCCAAUCAAUCAGAUAUGGCUUCUAUAUACCCUGCCAAUCAAUCAGAUAUGGCUUCCAUUUACCCUUCCAAUCCAUCAGAUAUGGCUUCCAUUUACCCUUCCAAUCCAUCAGAUAUGGCUUCCAUUUACCCUUCCAAUCAAUCAGAUAUGGCUUCUAUAUACCCUUCCAAUCCAUCAGAUAUGGCUUCCAUUUACCCUUCCAAUCCAUCAGAUAUGGCUUCUAUAUACCCUUCCAAUCAAUCAGAUAUGGCUUCCAUUUACCCUUCCAAUCAAUCAGAUAUGGCUUCCAUUUACCCUUCCAAUCAAUCAGAUAUGGCUUCUAAAUACCCUUCCAAUCAAUCAGAUAUGGCUUCCAUUUACCCUUCCAAUCAAUCAGAUAUGGCUUCUAUAUACCCUUCCAAUCAAUCAGAUAUGGCUUCCAUUUACCCUUCCAAUCAAUCAGAUAUGGCUUCUAUAUACCCUGCCAAUCAAUCAGAUAUGGCUUCUAUAUACCCUUCCAAUCCAUCAGAUAUGGCUUCCAUUUACCCUUCCAAUCAAUCAGAUAUGGCUUCUAUAUACCCUUCCAAUCAAUCAGAUAUGGCUUCUAUAUACCCUUCCAAUCAAUCAGAUAUGGCUUCCAUUUACCCUUCCAAUCAAUCAGAUAUGGCUUCCAUAUACCCUUCCAAUCAUUGCUUCUUACCCAGCUAUCAGAUUCCUCCAGAACUCCACACAACAACGAGGUAA